UUAGGAUUUGGAUUAGGAUUUGGAUUGGGAUUUAGGGUUUGGUUAGGGUUUGAUUUAGGGUUUGGAUUAGGGUUUGGAUUAGGAUUUAGGGUUUGGUUAGGAUUUGAUUUGGGGUUUAGAUUAGGAUUUGGUUAGGAUUUGAUUUAAGGUUUGGUUUAGGGUUUAGGGUUUGGAAUAGGGUUUAAUUUAAGAUUUGUUUAGGAUUUGACUUAGGAUUUAGGAAUUAUUAGGGUUUAAGAUUUAAUUAGGUUUGGUCUAAAGUUGAGUGAAAUUUAAUAGGAUUUUAACUAGAAUUAAAUUAAGGUUGAAUUGACAUAUAUUUGAAUAAAAUUUGUGAUCAUUCUAAUAUUUCUUUAAGAAUUUUAUUGUUUUUUUGAAAUUUCUUUGAGUUGUUUUGAAUUUGAUUAUGUUUGUUUACCAUUAUUAUAGUCUAAUUAGAGCAUUGUUAGUAUUCUA
RNAcentral lists this long non-coding RNA (456 nucleotides) under Physcomitrium patens. Its description in RNAcentral is "long non-coding RNA (PPAT_LNC009916)". Lineage: Eukaryota; Viridiplantae; Streptophyta; Bryopsida; Funariales; Funariaceae. The record is from RNAcentral.